Molecule: ribosomal RNA, 667 nt
Filed under: uncultured bacterium
Lineage: Bacteria
Description: bacterial SSU rRNA
Rfam family: Bacterial small subunit ribosomal RNA
Source: RNAcentral
GGACUGACACUGACACUGAGGUGCGAAAGCGUGGGUAGCAAACAGGAUUAGAUACCCUGGUAGUCCACGCCGUAAACGAUGUCGACCAGCCGUUGGGUGCCUAGCGCACUUUGUGGCGAAGUUAACGCGAUAAGUCGACCGCCUGGGGAGUACGGCCGCAAGGUUAAAACUCAAAUGAAUUGACGGGGGCCCGCACAAGCGGUGGAGCAUGUGGUUUAAUUCGAUGCAACGCGAAGAACCUUACCUACUCUUGACAUCCUGCGAACUUGUGAGAGAUCACUUGGUGCCUUCGGGAGCGCAGAGACAGGUGCUGCAUGGCUGUCGUCAGCUCGUGUUGUGAAAUGUUGGGUUAAGUCCCGUAACGAGCGCAACCCUUGUCCUUAUUUGCCAGCGGGUAAUGCCGGGAACUCUAAGGAGACUGCCGGUGACAAACCGGAGGAAGGUGGGGACGACGUCAAGUCAUCAUGGCCCUUACGAGUAGGGCUACACACGUGCUACAAUGGCCGGUACAAAGGGUUGCGAGCUCGCGAGAGUCAGCUAAUCCCGAAAAGCCGGUCUCAGUCCGGAUCGGAGUCUGCAACUCGACUCCGUGAAGUCGGAAUCGCUAGUAAUCGUGAAUCAGAAUGUCACGGUGAAUACGUUCCCGGGCCUUGUACACACCGCCCGU